ACAAUACAAAAAAAUAAGUAACUGUAGUUCCACAUAGUUUCGUAAAAGUAUCUAAGAGUUAGGAGUUUCUUUUGUGCUUAUUAAUAUCACAAACUGUAACUUAAAACAUUGUUUUUUCAUAACAUUUGUGAAAACCUAUAUAAAUAGGAAAGCAUCAAACUUUUUAAACAUCACAACAAAAUAUCAAAACAAAUAGAUUUAAAAAUCGGUAAUUCUUAACUACUACUAAAUUUCGAAAAAGAUGAAAUCUGGUGUUUUAUUUGCAACUCUUCUAGUAAUUUUUGUGUCAUGUGCCUCAAAUAUUUUUGCAAAAUCCUCUUGUGAAGAUAAAACAGAUAUUUCAAGUCAAGCACCUAGCCCUCAACUUGAUAUCCAAAUAAAAAACCAAGUGCUUCAUGAUAAAAAAAUUAAACCUCAUGCUGCCAAUAAUCCAAUUGGAUUUUGUCAAGAAUGUGCACAUCAUUGUAUUAGAAAGAAGAGGUUUAUGCUAGAAUGCCGAAACUUUGCUUGUUACUGUGAUCAUAGCAGAUAUAAUCAGAGAAUAUGUAAAGGGUGGCAAAGAUUAUGGUGCAUUAAUUACUAAGAUGUAUUUUGGAAUUCCAAUAUAAAAUAAAGAAACCAUUAUAUUAUUUACUGUUCAAUUUUAGUGUUUUUACUUCACGUAUUUGUUACGUUAACUAGCUUGUAGGUUAUGUAUGGGUGCAUAUAUAUUUUUUUAAAAAAUCAGCAUAUUAAAAUGGAAUGAUUAUACAUAAGUUACGGAUUUUUAUUCAAAAUUUACGGUGGAGAUAUUACGAUUUGGUAGUUAAGACAAAUUUUAAUGUCUCAAAAAAUUCAUAAGAAAACAUUUUUAAUAGUUAAAAUAAUGAAAAUCUAGAGCUUACAAGUCUGAACUCUUGUAUAAGUUAUAUUUUUAAAUCUAAUAAAAUAUAUAUAUUCUUUAUAGAGAAAUUAUAACACAUGGCUGGAUAAAUUUUGGAUGGAUGUUACAAAAACCAAUAAUCAUAUGAUGAUCGUGAAGAGUAAAUAAA
Molecule: long non-coding RNA, 1031 nt
Organism: Brassica rapa (field mustard)
Lineage: Eukaryota; Viridiplantae; Streptophyta; Magnoliopsida; Brassicales; Brassicaceae
Source: RefSeq, a predicted model, not a curated record